AUUAAACGCUGGCGGCAUGCCUUACACAUGCAAGUCGAACGGUAGCGCGGGGCAACCUGGCGACGAGUGGCGAACGGGUGAGUAAAGCAUCGGAACGUGCCCUGGAAUGGGGGAUAACGUAGCGAAAGUUACGCUAAUACCGCAUAUUCUGUGAGCAGGAAAGCAGGGGAUCGCAAGACCUUGCGUUCUGGGAGCGGCCGAUGUCGGAUUAGCUAGUUGGUGGGGUAAAGCCUACCAAGGCGACGAUCCGUAGCGGGUCUGAGAGGAUGAUCCGCCACACUGGGACUGAGACACGGCCCAGACUCCUACGGGAGGCAGCAGUGGGGAAUUUUGGACAAUGGGCGGAAGCCUGAUCCAGCCAUGCCGCGUGAGUGAAGAAGGCCUUCGGGUUG
This 392-nucleotide ribosomal RNA is filed under the name uncultured bacterium. RNAcentral's name for it is "bacterial SSU rRNA". It matches the Rfam family "Bacterial small subunit ribosomal RNA", at positions 29 to 425 of the family's 1533-position model. The record is from RNAcentral.